Molecule: ribosomal RNA, 1416 nt
Filed under: Klebsiella pneumoniae
Lineage: Bacteria; Pseudomonadati; Pseudomonadota; Gammaproteobacteria; Enterobacterales; Enterobacteriaceae
Description: bacterial SSU rRNA
Rfam family: Bacterial small subunit ribosomal RNA
Source: RNAcentral
GCUAACACAUGCAAGUCGAGCGGUAGCACAGAGAGCUUGCUCUCGGGUGACGAGCGGCGGACGGGUGAGUAAUGUCUGGGAAACUGCCUGAUGGAGGGGGAUAACUACUGGAAACGGUAGCUAAUACCGCAUAAUGUCGCAAGACCAAAGUGGGGGACCUUCGGGCCUCAUGCCAUCAGAUGUGCCCAGAUGGGAUUAGCUAGUAGGUGGGGUAACGGCUCACCUAGGCGACGAUCCCUAGCUGGUCUGAGAGGAUGACCAGCCACACUGGAACUGAGACACGGUCCAGACUCCUACGGGAGGCAGCAGUGGGGAAUAUUGCACAAUGGGCGCAAGCCUGAUGCAGCCAUGCCGCGUGUGUGAAGAAGGCCUUCGGGUUGUAAAGCACUUUCAGCGGGGAGGAAGGCGUUAAGGUUAAUAACCUUGGCGAUUGACGUUACCCGCAGAAGAAGCACCGGCUAACUCCGUGCCAGCAGCCGCGGUAAUACGGAGGGUGCAAGCGUUAAUCGGAAUUACUGGGCGUAAAGCGCACGCAGGCGGUCUGUCAAGUCGGAUGUGAAAUCCCCGGGCUCAACCUGGGAACUGCAUUCGAAACUGGCAGGCUAGAGUCUUGUAGAGGGGGGUAGAAUUCCAGGUGUAGCGGUGAAAUGCGUAGAGAUCUGGAGGAAUACCGGUGGCGAAGGCGGCCCCCUGGACAAAGACUGACGCUCAGGUGCGAAAGCGUGGGGAGCAAACAGGAUUAGAUACCCUGGUAGUCCACGCCGUAAACGAUGUCGAUUUGGAGGUUGUGCCCUUGAGGCGUGGCUUCCGGAGCUAACGCGUUAAAUCGACCGCCUGGGGAGUACGGCCGCAAGGUUAAAACUCAAAUGAAUUGACGGGGGCCCGCACAAGCGGUGGAGCAUGUGGUUUAAUUCGAUGCAACGCGAAGAACCUUACCUGGUCUUGACAUCCACAGAACUUUCCAGAGAUGGAUUGGUGCCUUCGGGAACUGUGAGACAGGUGCUGCAUGGCUGUCGUCAGCUCGUGUUGUGAAAUGUUGGGUUAAGUCCCGCAACGAGCGCAACCCUUAUCCUUUGUUGCCAGCGGUUCGGCCGGGAACUCAAAGGAGACUGCCAGUGAUAAACUGGAGGAAGGUGGGGAUGACGUCAAGUCAUCAUGGCCCUUACGACCAGGGCUACACACGUGCUACAAUGGCAUAUACAAAGAGAAGCGACCUCGCGAGAGCAAGCGGACCUCAUAAAGUAUGUCGUAGUCCGGAUUGGAGUCUGCAACUCGACUCCAUGAAGUCGGAAUCGCUAGUAAUCGUAGAUCAGAAUGCUACGGUGAAUACGUUCCCGGGCCUUGUACACACCGCCCGUCACACCAUGGGAGUGGGUUGCAAAAGAAGUAGGUAGCUUAACCUUCGGGAGGGCGCUA